This 773-nucleotide ribosomal RNA is filed under the name uncultured Neocallimastigales. RNAcentral describes it as "partial large subunit ribosomal RNA". It matches the Rfam family "Eukaryotic large subunit ribosomal RNA", at positions 24 to 643 of the family's 3401-position model. The record is from RNAcentral. Lineage: Eukaryota; Fungi; Neocallimastigomycota; Neocallimastigomycetes; Neocallimastigales.
UACGACUACAUAUCAGGCAUAUCAAUAAGCGGAGGAAAAGAAACUAACUAGGAUUCCCUAGUAACGGCGAGUGAAGCGGGAAGAGCUCAAAUUUGAAAUCUUCAAGGUUCUACCUUGACGAAUUGUAGUUUAAAGAAGUGUUUUCUGUUAGGAGUUAGGUAAAAGUUCUUUGGAAUAGGACAUCAUAGAGGGUGAGAAUCCCGUAUUUGACUAUUCUUUCUAGCUGUGUGAUACACUUUCAAAGAGUCGGAUUGUUUGGGAAUGCAGUCCAAAAUGGGUGGUAAAUUUCAUCUAAAGCUAAAUAUUGGCGAGAGACCGAUAGCGAACAAGUACCGUGAGGGAAAGAUGAAAAGAACUUUGAAAAGAGAGUUAAACAGUACGUGAAAUUGUCAAAAGGGAAGCGUUUGACACCAGUGUUGUUUUUCCGAAAAUCAAUUACGAAUGUUUUGUUUUUGAGGAGUUAUGACUUCAUCGGCUUGCUUCUUUCUUUACGAAACUUUCUUAAUGCACUUUUCGGUUAACAAGUCAACAUCAAUUUCUUUUGUUGUAAAAGGGUACGAGGAAGGUGGCUUUCUUUUCGGAGAAAGUGUUUAUAGCCUUGUACCUCUGCAAUCGGAGAGAUUGAGGUCUGCAGCGUAGAUCCUUCGGGGUUAGAUACAUUUGUGCUAAGUUAUAGCUUUUCAUAGACAACUUGUUGACUAUGUUAAGUCUUGUAGCUUACUCGCUUAUGCUAUUUUACCUACGCUUAGGAUGUUGACACACGCGCGUGCUCG